CUACGGGGGGCAGCAGUGGGGAAUAUUGCACAAUGGAGGAAACUCUGAUGCAGCAACGCCGCGUGGAGGAUGACACUUUUCGGAGCGUAAACUCCUUUUAUAUAGGAAGAUAAUGACGGUACUAUAUGAAUAAGCACCGGCUAACUCCGUGCCAGCAGCCGCGGUAAUACGGAGGGUGCAAGCGUUACUCGGAAUCACUGGGCGUAAAGAGCGUGUAGGCGGGUUAAUAAGUCAGAAGUGAAAUCCUAUGGCUCAACCAUAGAACUGCUUUUGAAACUGUUAACCUAGAAUAUGGGAGAGGUAGAUGGAAUUUCUGGUGUAGGGGUAAAAUCCGUAGAGAUCAGAAGGAAUACCGAUUGCGAAGGCGAUCUACUGGAACAUUAUUGACGCUGAGACGCGAAAGCGUGGGGAGCAAACAGGAUUAGAUACCCGAGUAGUC
RNAcentral lists this ribosomal RNA (439 nucleotides) under uncultured bacterium. Its description in RNAcentral is "partial 16S ribosomal RNA". It matches the Rfam family "Bacterial small subunit ribosomal RNA", at positions 339 to 795 of the family's 1533-position model. The record is from RNAcentral.